UACGCUGGCGGCACGCCUAACACAUGCAAGUCGAACGCAGUAGCAAUACUGAGUGGCAAACGGGUGAGUAUAAUGUGGGAAUCUGCCUUUUGGUUUGGAAUAACACGGGGAAACUUGUGCUAAUACCGAAUAAGCCCUUACGGGGAAAGUUUUAACGCCGAAAGAUGAGCCCGCACUUGAUUAGCUAGUUGGUAAGGUAAAAGCUUACCAAGGCAACGAUCAAUAGCUGUUCUUAGAGGAAGACCAGCCACAUUGGGACUGAGACACGGCCCAGACUCCUACGGGAGGCAGCAGUGGGGAAUCUUGCACAAUGGGGGAAACCCUGAUGCAGCGAUGCCGCGUGAGUGAAGAAGGCCCUUGGGUUGUAAAACUCUUUCGUCGGGGAAGAAAAUGACUGUACCCGAAUAAGAAGGUCCGGCUAACU
Molecule: ribosomal RNA, 424 nt
Filed under: uncultured bacterium
Lineage: Bacteria
Description: bacterial SSU rRNA
Rfam family: Bacterial small subunit ribosomal RNA
Source: RNAcentral